Long non-coding RNA from Sycon ciliatum, 1228 nucleotides. RefSeq lists it as uncharacterized. The transcript is spliced from 2 exons. NCBI's taxonomy places the organism in Eukaryota, Metazoa, Porifera, Calcarea, Leucosolenida, Sycettidae. The record is from RefSeq and is a predicted model, not a curated record.
AUAGGAAUCGUGUACAUUUCUUCGUUUCUUCUUUGCUGUUUUCAGUGAGUGUUUUGUUUUCUCUUUGUCCUUGAUCUCGACGGCGUUGUCGUGCUCAUUACCUUACUGAGACGUCUCUUGUGACUGUAGGCAGUGUCACGGAGGAUUUUAUUGGCGUGACGAGGUAGAUCGCCGAGAUCGAGCGUGAAAAACGCUCUGCAUUAGUAGCUCCUGUAGAAUGUCUUCUGGGAUGGCGUAUCCAUGGUCAACAAAGCCAAGGUGCAAGACUGCAUAAGAGAUCGUGUAAACGAUGUGAACUCCAAAAGGUAAGCUCCUGAACAAGUGGAAAGAUAUGUGUAUUUACAAACUCUCUCUUCAUCCAUCGAUUGCCGCUAUGCAUUGCAUUUUGUCUUCACAGAUAAUCUGGACAAAUAAAUUAUAUUGUAACUGGAGAGUGCAAUCGUGCUUGGGACCCAUCCCAAUGUCAUCACAUGGCUGUGGUGACUAGUGCAUACCUGGGAGAAUUUUUCCUCAACUGAGACGGAGUGUAGAUGGAUGGAUUAUGAGAAAUGCGAAGAUGUGGAGUUCAAGGCUAGAUGCACUUCACAUUCGGCGUGGGAUCUCGGCGUCUCGGACCUGAUAACGUCUUGGUUGGAUGGGUGAUCAAGGAUGAUACUACUCGGCACACCAAUGUACAUGUCAAUGUAGUUUUUACUUUUUCAGAGCUGCACUAUUUACGUCUUGAUGCUUACUUCGGUGCUAGUGUCGUGUCCGUGUGUUGCUACAAUGUCAUUAUCUGUAUUGUAUUCCGUCUGCUUAUACAUGUGUCUUUAUGAAGUGUUUGCCAUGGCGGCGAUGUGUCUUGUCGAUCAAUAGUGUUGUGAAACCUAUCCCUAUUCAUGCUUUGCUGGCUACUUGCUCGCUCCGCGCCGUGCACGCUACUAGGUCUUGUAGUAUAUAGCUCGAUGCUUUGCAUCGAUCGCUGGUUGUUGUUGUUCUUGUUGCUUCUCUGUUGUUUGAGCUUGGUCCUAGAGUGAAGCUUUGGUCUUCUUGUGUGGUGAGGGUGAGGAAUGGGUAUCUGGACUCCUGGUAUAUUUCCGUAAAGAACCUGGAAUUGUAGAAUCCUGAGAGUAUGUCUGGCCCACUCCCCGGUCAUGACAUUAGCGUGUUUCCCCCGGAUUAUUUCUAUCAUCCUGCGUGUUCUUGGGCUGAGCGAGCACAUGCACGAGUGUGCAGCUAUAACCCUGUG